CCUACGGGGGGCAGCAGUGAGGAAUAUUGGUCAAUGGCCGAGAGGCUGAACCAGCCAAGUCGCGUGAGGGAAGACGGCCCUACGGGUUGUAAACCUCUUUUGUCGGGGAACAAAGCGAGUCACGUGUGACUCAUUGAGAGUACCCGAAGAAAAAGCAUCGGCUAACUCCGUGCCAGCAGCCGCGGUAAUACGGAGGAUGCGAGCGUUAUCCGGAAUUACUGGGUGUAAAGGGAGCGUAGACGGUAAUGCAAGUCUGGAGUGAAAGGCGGGGGCCCAACCCCCGGACUGCUCUGUUAACUGUGUAA
Molecule: ribosomal RNA, 305 nt
Filed under: uncultured bacterium
Lineage: Bacteria
Description: bacterial SSU rRNA
Rfam family: Bacterial small subunit ribosomal RNA
Source: RNAcentral